UUUAUUAAUGAGCUAAAAAUUGUUAGUAAAUAAUAUUUACGAAAACAAAAAAUUAUGGCGGUACUUUAAGCUUUUCAGAGGAAUUUGCUCUUUAAUGGAUAAAACACCUUAAUCUUACUAGUAUUAGUUAAUUCAGUUUGUAUACCACUAUUAAAGUUAUAAUUAAUUAAUAUUACUCUUUUUUUUAAAAUUAAUUUUUUAAAAAAAAAUUUAAGUCAUGGUGCAGCUAAAAUAUUAGAAUGAAGUGAAUUACAAUUUUUUAAAAAAAAAGAGUUUGUAUAAGAAUUAUAUAAAAAUUUAUAGGAUUUGAAAGUAAAAAUUCAAUAAAAUGGCAUUUUGAAUUAAGCUCUGAAGUAUGUAC
This 361-nucleotide ribosomal RNA is filed under the name Amblyomma geoemydae. RNAcentral describes it as "partial small subunit ribosomal RNA". Lineage: Eukaryota; Metazoa; Arthropoda; Arachnida; Ixodida; Ixodidae. The record is from RNAcentral.